UACGUAGGGGGCAAGCGUUGUCCGGAAUCAUUGGGCGUAAAGCGCGUGUAGGCGGUCAUGUAAGUCUGCUGUGAAAGUCGGGGGCUCAACCCUCGAAAGCCGGUGGAUACUGCAUGACUUGAGUUCGGAAGAGGCAAGUGGAAUUCCUGGUGUAGCGGUGAAAUGCGCAGAUAUCAGGAGGAACACCAACGGCGAAGGCAGCUUGCUGGUACGACACUGACGCUGAGACGCGAAAGCGUGGGGAGCAAACAGG
This 253-nucleotide ribosomal RNA is filed under the name uncultured prokaryote. RNAcentral describes it as "partial 16S ribosomal RNA". It matches the Rfam family "Bacterial small subunit ribosomal RNA", at positions 524 to 776 of the family's 1533-position model. The record is from RNAcentral.